This 241-nucleotide unclassified non-coding RNA is filed under the name plant metagenome. RNAcentral describes it as "partial contains small subunit ribosomal RNA, internal transcribed spacer 1, and 5.8S ribosomal RNA". The record is from RNAcentral.
UUUCCGUAGGUGAACCUGCGGAAGGAUCAUUAUUGAAUGAAACACUUCUGGCUUUAUGCUGUUGUGCUGGCCCUUUGGGCAAUGUGCACACGGCUCAGGUCACUUGUUUCUUCUGUUCCACCUGUGCACUGCCUGUAGACACGCUGUGUCUAUGAUAUUUGUUAACACACAACAAUGUUAGUUGGCAUGUUAUAUAUAAUAAUAAAAUAUACAACUUUCAACAACGGAUCUCUUGGCUCUC